Molecule: ribosomal RNA, 849 nt
Filed under: Leucoagaricus lacrymans
Lineage: Eukaryota; Fungi; Basidiomycota; Agaricomycetes; Agaricales; Agaricaceae
Description: eukaryotic LSU rRNA
Rfam family: Eukaryotic large subunit ribosomal RNA
Source: RNAcentral
CCCUAGUAACUGCGAGUGAAGCGGGAAAAGCUCAAAUUUUAAAUCUGGCGGUCUCAGGCCGUCCGAGUUGUAAUCUAGAGAAGUGAUGCCCGCGCUGGACCGUGUACAAGUCUCCUGGGAUGGAGCGUCAUAGAGGGUGAGAAUCCCGUCUCUGACACGGACUACCAGGGCUUUGUGGUACGCUCUCAAAGAGUCGAGUUGUUUGGGAAUGCAGCUCAAAAUGGGUGGUAAAUUCCAUCUAAAGCUAAAUAUUGGCGAGAGACCGAUAGCGAACAAGUACCGUGAGGGAAAGAUGAAAAGAACUUUGGAAAGAGAGUUAAACAGUACGUGAAAUUGCUGAAAGGGAAACGCUUGAAGUCAGUCGCGUUGGCCGGGAAUCAGCCUCGCUUUUGCGUGGUGUACUUUCCGGUUGACGGGUCAGCAUCAAUUUUGAUCGCUGGAAAAAGGCUUGGGGAAUGUGGCAGCUUCUGCUGUGUUAUAGCCCCAUGUCACAUACGGCGAUUGGGAUUGAGGAACUCAGCACGCCGAAAGGCCGGGUUUCGACCACGUUCGUGCUUAGGAUGCUGGCAUAAUGGCUUUAAGCGACCCGUCUUGAAACACGGACCAAGGAGUCUAACAUGCCUGCGAGUGUUUGGGUGGAAAACCCGAGCGCGUAAUGAAAGUGAAAGUUGAGAUCCCUGUCGUGGGGAGCAUCGACGCCCGGACCAGAACUUUUGGGACGGAUCCGCGGUAGAGCAUGUAUGUUGGGACCCGAAAGAUGGUGAACUAUGCCUGAAUAGGGUGAAGCCAGAGGAAACUCUGGUGGAGGCUCGUAGCGAUUCUGACGUGCAAAUCGAUCGUCAAAUUUGG